GGUUUUAUAGUAAUAAUUUAAAACGUCAAAUUGCAAAUUUGAAAAUGUGCUAACACUAAAACUU
This 64-nucleotide transfer RNA is filed under the name Procambarus acutus. Its description in RNAcentral is "tRNA-Cys". Lineage: Eukaryota; Metazoa; Arthropoda; Malacostraca; Decapoda; Cambaridae. The record is from RNAcentral.